Molecule: ribosomal RNA, 447 nt
Filed under: uncultured bacterium
Lineage: Bacteria
Description: partial 16S ribosomal RNA
Rfam family: Bacterial small subunit ribosomal RNA
Source: RNAcentral
UCCAGACUCCUACGGGAGGCAGCAGUGGGGAAUAUUGGGCAAUGGACGCAAGUCUGACCCAGCAACGCCGCGUGAAGGAAGAAGGCUUUCGGGUUGUAAACUUCUUUUAAGGGGGAAGGGGAGAAGACGGUACCCCUUGAAUAAGCCACGGCUAACUACGUGCCAGCAGCCGCGGUAAUACGUAGGUGGCAAGCGUUGUCCGGAUUUACUGGGUGUAAAGGGCGUGCAGCCGGGCUGACAAGUCAGAUGUGAAAUCCGUGGGCUUAACCCGCGAACUGCAUUUGAAACUAUUGGUCUUGAGUGCCGGAGAGGUAAUCGGAAUUCCUUGUGUAGCGGUGAAAUGCGUAGAUAUAAGGAAGAACACCAGUGGCGAAGGCGGAUUACUGGACGGUAACUGACGGUGAGGCGCGAAAGCGUGGGGAGCAAACAGGAUUAGAUACCCCUGUA